Molecule: long non-coding RNA, 1791 nt
Organism: Myxocyprinus asiaticus (Chinese sucker)
Lineage: Eukaryota; Metazoa; Chordata; Actinopteri; Cypriniformes; Catostomidae
Exons: 3
Source: RefSeq, a predicted model, not a curated record
CUGAGUGGAAGCUUAUUUUCAUGGGUAGCAGACUGCAGAGCCUUUACAGUAAAUUAAAGGUGUCUGAAGUGUGAGGAUCUGUCAACAUGACACAUUCAACUCAUCCAAUCUUUGAGACCGGUUCGGUGAUGACGCUGCUUGCACAUGGCAGCGGAUUUGCAUUUGCAUUUGUGUUUUUAUUUGUUUUUCAAUACAUUUUCAAACUGGACUUUAUUUGUCCAUGUGAUCCUCAUACCACGGUUUUUUGUUUGAUGUAUAUGUUUUUACCAUUCAUAGCACUUCUUCUCAUUCUAACUUUCAUGGAUAAGAAGUGUAUUGAGGGGUUCCGUGUGCGCUGUGGCAAAUGGGCAUGCAAUUCAUUUGACUCCUGGCAGGAUCAACUUCCUUGUAAACAGGAGGAAAGAAAGACUCAUGAGGAUUCAAAACAAAUUCGUGAUACUUACAUCUUCUCUCAGGAAAUCAGUUUGGGCUUACUCUGUGGCAUACCAGUUAUAUGGACAUUUAGUUACAUGUUCUGUAUGUGCUGCAAGACAUCUUACAAGUCUCUGUAUGAAGACUUCCAUGAAGAGGAGACCAACAUUGUUAUAAAGAAGAGAUUACAAAUGCUUGCAAAGGAUAGUGCUGAACAUGAAUGUGAAAAAAAUUUUAACAAUUUUUGUGAACCAAAAAAUGCUAAAAAAAAAAAUCUUAUUUGCUAUCAAAGCAUAAGGUUGAUCAUCUAAUCAAUAACAUAGAUCAAAUACCUAACAGACCUCAGCAGCCUCCUAAUUCCCAAUAACAGCUUAAUGGCACAACAGCCUUAAUAUCCACCUCAACAACCUCAUCAGUCACCUCAAUAGCAUACAGACAGCCUCCUGAUUCAAUUCAGUGGGAUUCUGAUUCAACUCAACAGCCUAAUGAUCCACUUCAAAAGCCUCAAACCCUAUUUAGUUAAAUUUUACACAUGUUCUCAGUUCAGUUUACAAUUGCUUCAGAGCCAGAAGAACAUAGAAUUCAAAUAAAAACUUUUUUUUUUUAAAAAUUGCUAAACUCUUGCUAACCUUUGUUUGAAUAUCAGUAUUAAAAAUGAAAUAAACAUAUUUAUAAACACAUGCCACUUAAGUACAGUAUUUAAAAUAUUGCAUAUUUUAGUUAUGUAUACAAAGUAAUCAAAUACUUUAAAAGGAUGUGAACAACACAAAUACAGGAUAUUGUAGAAGACAAAUUUGCAAUUGCUUUGAUUCACAAGCAGAAAAGUAGGGUUCUAAGAUGCACUUCAUGAGAUGGCAACUAACCAUUAUUUUUAUUUAUUUAUUUAUUUUAACAACUUAGCCACCAUAAAUCACCCUUUAUUUUUGAGGUUAUAUUUUUCUGAUUUUUUUCUCCUUGUAGACCUUUAAACCUGUUUUCAUCCAUUCUUCAAGAUUCUGCCACAUUAUUAUAAAAAGAGAGAGAAAAGAAAUAUAAGACAUCUAUAUAUACAAAAUAAAUAAAUACAAUAUUGCAGUAAAAAUGUUCAAAGCAAAUGUGCCUUAUAGCCACUUCAUAAUAUCUUAUGGCUGUUUAUAAGAAGACAUACUGUAGCAUUUUUACUUUAUUUAAAGCAGACAAAGACCACUUAUGAAUGAUUAUGACCACAUUAUAAAUACAAGAAGACAAUGCAUUUGUCAUUUGACUUAAAGUGGUAAAAGACCACUCAUAAGUUGUAGGAAGAUAUUGUGUAGUUUGAUCUUAAAUAAACAAUGCUAAAAUAUGAAACUUAUAAUACAUCAUAAACUAUGAGUCCUAUAAUGCAUUAUAACUUAAAAUAAA